This 253-nucleotide ribosomal RNA is filed under the name uncultured bacterium. Its description in RNAcentral is "partial 16S ribosomal RNA". It matches the Rfam family "Bacterial small subunit ribosomal RNA", at positions 524 to 776 of the family's 1533-position model. The record is from RNAcentral.
GACGUAGGGCGCGAGCGUUGUCCGGAUUUAUUGGGCGUAAAGAGCUCGUAGGCGGCUUGUUGCGUCGACUGUGAAAACCCGCAGCUUAACUGCGGGCCUGCAGUUGAUACGGGCAGGCUAGAGUUCGGUAGGGGAGACUGGAAUUCCUGGUGUAGCGGUGGAAUGCGUAGAGAUCCGGAGGAACACCAGCGGCGAAGGCAGGUCUCUGGGCAUUAACUGACGCUGAGGAGCGAAAGCAUGGGGAGCGAACAGG